This is a long non-coding RNA of Tachysurus fulvidraco (yellow catfish), 304 nucleotides long. RefSeq lists it as uncharacterized. The record is from RefSeq and is a predicted model, not a curated record. The transcript has 3 exons. NCBI's taxonomy places the organism in Eukaryota, Metazoa, Chordata, Actinopteri, Siluriformes, Bagridae.
AAAUAAAGUUAGUUAGUGAAACUCAAUGUGAAAACAGCAGAUUAUGAGAGUCUGGUAAGGUUCAGGUUCAUAUCGCUAACAUUUUCCUUUUCUUCUCGGUGUGAUUGUGAGUGAUCCAUUACUCCAAAGCCAGAAUCAAAGAGGGAAAGUCUACACGUGUGCUGUUAGUAACGGAAAAUGUUCACCAAUGCAAAUUAAUGUUCCCUCUGAGGCUGUCAACAUGUCACUUGGGCUGUCAAUGACUAAAGAUCACAAGUCUUCAAACGUAGUGGUCUGUGGCCCAACCAUUCCCAAGGACUGUAAG